AGAAACAGAUGAAGAAAGAGAGAGAGUUACAUUGAUUCUGUUAUAUUGAGAUGAGUAAAACAGUCGGACAUAUAUUGCUUUGGUUUGGCGUGAGUCAUCACUACGAAUUAGACUGAUGCUGUAACAAGAGGCUGACUUGGGAUGAAGGUAAAUGUGGAGGAAAAACAUUCGGGCUCUCUGAUUUAUCUUUACAAGUUUAAGUUCAUCUUGAUGUUAAAACAGAACUUUAUAUGUCUGCGGUAACCUAAGGGCAAGGAGAUGUCAUUCUGUGAUGGCUGAUGAUCAUGGUUUUUUUCUGUAAACAUCUUUUGAAUUAUUAAUAAGAUAGAUAUAAUGAGUAUGCAUACCAAGGAAGAUUACAGAUGAAAGGAAUU
Mytilus californianus (California mussel) is the source of this 374-nucleotide long non-coding RNA. RefSeq lists it as uncharacterized. The transcript is spliced from 4 exons. Lineage: Eukaryota; Metazoa; Mollusca; Bivalvia; Mytilida; Mytilidae. The record is from RefSeq and is a predicted model, not a curated record.